This 434-nucleotide ribosomal RNA is filed under the name uncultured bacterium. RNAcentral describes it as "bacterial SSU rRNA". It matches the Rfam family "Bacterial small subunit ribosomal RNA", at positions 355 to 787 of the family's 1533-position model. The record is from RNAcentral.
UGAGGAAUAUUGGUCAAUGGGCGGGAGCCUGAACCAGCCAAGUCGCGUGAGGGAAGAAGGCCCUAUGGGUCGUAAACCUCUUUUGUCAGGGAACAAAAGCGAGUAUGUAUACUAGUCUGAGUGGACCUGAAGAAAAAGCAUCGGCUAACUCCGUGCCAGCAGCCGCGGUAAUACGGAGGAUGCGAGCGUUAUCCGGAUUUAUUGGGUUUAAAGGGUGCGUAGGCGGCGAUGCAAGUCAGCGGUAAAAGCCCGGGGCUCAACCCCGGCGAGCCGUUGAAACUGCAGUGCUAGAGAAGGCGAGAGGUACGCGGAAUGCGCAGUGUAGCGGUGAAAUGCUUAGAUAUUGCGCAGAACUCCGAUUGCGAAGGCAGCGUACUGGCGCCUGACUGACGCUGAGGCACGAAAGCGUGGGGAUCGAACAGGAUUAGAUACCC